GGUCGACUCGAACGUUCACACCAGCCGAAAGCAUUGCAGGCAUGUGGUCUGGCUUUACCGUGGAGUCCACAGUCUAUCGGAUUUACGCACGAGGAAGACUGGCAACAACACAACAAUUCUGUGGAUUCUGCUGAUGCUGCUGAAGUUUAGGACCUCUGUCUCCCUCUAAUGGACAUCCCAAGAAAUUACAGUACUACAGUUCCCACUAGGAAAUGAUGUAGGAAAGUAAACGUCUUCACACCAGCAACAUUACAACUAACCCUUACACUGAACAAUGCUUACCAACUCUACAUUCACUCUACAGUACUGGCAACUCCUAACAUGCUUCACACAAGUCAUUUUUCUAUGGUAAGUGACUAUUUGAAAUACACUAUGUAAGCUCAGUGAAUAUGAGGCCAUUUUUUCUGCCUUCCUGUAGUGAACAUUCCUGGUCAUCCCCAUUUUCCUGGACAGACCUUAGUACACUUGCAGGGUCAGCAAAAGGUUGUCCAGCUUCUGCCAUAAACCCACACUGAUUACAGUUGCAGCAAAAUUGGUUUUGAAAGAAAAGACAGCAGGCUCAGAAAACAGAUGUGGUCCCAGGCGCAGAGGAAUUCUAAUAAUAUUCCAGACUGUUACACUUAAGCUGCUGAUUCUCUCUCUCUUGCCUUCUCCACCUCCCCUUUGCUGCUCUUUUUCGUCUGCCCAUUGUCUCAUGUCCUGUGAUCAUCUGAUGAAUGAAUUUUGAUACAUUUUGAAAAGAAUCUUGCAGGUAUUUGACUAGCUGUAAUUAAGUCGUCUGCAUAGGUCUACUUUUUCAGCACUUUUUUAGUGUCCCAACUUCUAAAGAAAAACAUAUUUUGUCUGAAUGCAUUCCUUCCUCACAUAUGAAUGAGAAUCUUUUACAUAGCCAAUCAUUUGAGGAUCAGCCUCAGUUAUGCAGAAAUAGCCAAAAGGCUUGUCAGGACAAAUCAGGAUCAAUAAAAUCAAUCAAGAUAUGAGUGGGGAGAGUGGAGCCCCUGUCCUGUAUUUCAAACAGAGGAAUCUGGCGAUCCAUGAGCCUCUACAUAGAUAAUGCAGCUAACCAGUGUUAUGUGCUAUUUCAAUCUUCAGACAUCACAUUUCACACACUAAGUGCCUAUGAAAAUGUUCUGUUUAAUACUGAGAAUAGAGAGUGGGCCACUACCAUGAUUCCAUUGAUCACGGCGUUCAGAAAUCUGUCAACACUGUUUUCCAUUUCCAACAGCUUACUCACCUUAUCUCCUUUUCAAGGCAACUGCCCCCUCAAUUAGGACUUGCGCUUGGUCCUGACAAGACUGAUUGAGCCCGCGGAGGAGCCUCCCAUGACAAGUGACUGAUUAACAUGGCAGGGGUGAGGCCUGCAGCAGCCACAGCUCAAGAUGAGAGAUGCCGCCAGGAGAAGUGGGACAAACACAGCCAUCAUUCACUAAUGUCUCAGCAAGGUGUCUAGACAGUCAAACUCCCUUUUUUCAAGCCGUCUCACUGUAUCAGCACUCUCAGGCGAGCGAGCGGUGGACCACGAGGCCCUGGAGGCAGGCUGCUAAAGAAAACACCCCACAAACCCAGACCACGUCCAAACCCAGACCACGUCCAAACCCAGACCACAUCCAAACCCAGGCCACGUCCAAACCCAGCUCACAUCCAAACCCAGGCCACGUCCAACCCCAGGCCACCACCUCUUAAUGGCCCUGUUGGGUCUCUGCCAGCUGCAACAUUAUCUCUGUAUCAUCAGCUUCACUGGCAUCAAUGCUUAUUAGAUGCAGGGCUAGGGAAUCAGUGAAGGAUGUGGUCCAUCUGACGGAGCCAUAGGGCCAUCUGUCAGCCCAGAGCCAUCAGUCACAUCCUGGUUAGGCCAUCGGCCUCCUGCUAAGCCCCAGUAGCGCUCCCCUUCUCUGGACCCUUCCCUGACCUGGGAGAGCACGCAGGGGUGGGAAUACCACCGUACAGUCGCACUCAAUCACACAGAUACUGACCAGAACAGUCUCCGCAUUCUGGAGAAAAGGAGCAGCGAAUGAGCGAAUGAAAGUGAGCAGCGAAUGACCUGAAUGGUGCAGGAUUAUCUGCCCAUGUGCUGCAGAAAUGGAAAAAGGAGCAGACAUGUAGGAAGUGCCCUGUGCACUGUGCACUGAGACUUCUGGCACCAGUCAAUCUUGUCCAUCUUGACUUCCCUAAAAGAAGUCUGACCUGGCGAUAGGAAACACUCAUGUUAUCACGACACAAUUGUUAGGUCUGUGAGUAUCAAAUCCACAGAGCUCAGUCCCUGUAUUAAACUAACUUUGCACAGACUGAAUUAAUCAGUGAGCUGAUGGUUUAUAGCAGACUGAUGUUUGGGGGCAGGGGGUUCUCUUUCUCUCUCCCCCAGUGAUCUGUGCAAUCUAUUUCUCAGGCUGACUAAAUUACCUUCAAUUUCUGGCCAUAUAGGCCAACUGUGUGUACAUUAGCACACUCAAAUGACUCUCAGACUCUCAAAAGUGGAAUUACAGAUGUUUUACACAUUACAACUGGAGCUGGAAUCUAAAUCGGUCAAAAAUGAAGCUUAGAUUUAACAGACAUGGCGUGAAAGCAACUCCACUUGCAGAACACUCUGUAGCAUUUGAUACCAACUGCAUGAAGUAAGUGUAGCAGUGGACACGCCAGUGGCAGCCCUGAAUUGACUUGGUUUGAACCACACCUGAAGAGUGGACAGCUCAUGUGCUUGUACAUCACCUCAACGAGUAGUCCGAGGCACAACUGCUGUGACUCAAAAACAAAGCAGUUAGAGGUCACAGUUGACUGUCAAUGGCGUCAUGGGUUUAAGGCCUCACAUUAUUUGUUUUCCUUCUGUUUCACAGAUCUUAUUCACAUGCUAAAUAAAUGCCAAACCAAAGGUGA
This is a long non-coding RNA of Alosa alosa (allis shad), 2871 nucleotides long. RefSeq lists it as uncharacterized. The record is from RefSeq and is a predicted model, not a curated record. The transcript is spliced from 4 exons. NCBI's taxonomy places the organism in Eukaryota, Metazoa, Chordata, Actinopteri, Clupeiformes, Clupeidae.